GUUGUAUGGUUAAGUGACUAAGCGUACACGGUGGAUGCCUUGGCAGUCAGAGGCGAUGAAAGACGUAGUAACUUGCGAUAAGCCCAGAUUAGGUAGUAACAACCAUUUGAGUCUGGGAUUUCUGAAUGGGGAAACCCACUUACAUAAGUAAGUAUCAUUAACUGAAUACAUAGGUUAAUGAGGCGAACCGGGGGAACUGAAACAUCUAAGUACCCCGAGGAAAAGAAAUCAACCGAGAUUCCGAAAGUAGCGGCGAGCGAAAUUGGACUAGCCCUUAAGCUUUACACGCGUUAGACGAACGGUCUGGAAAGUCCGACGAUACAGGGUGAUAGUCCCGUAGUUGACGACGUGUGUUCAGUGAAAUCGAGUAGGGCGGGACACGUGAUAUCCUGUCUGAAUAUGGGGGGACCAUCCUCCAAGGCUAAAUACUACUGACUGACCGAUAGUGAACCAGUACCGUGAGGGAAAGGCGAAAAGAACCCCUGUGAGGGGAGUGAAAUAGAACCUGAAACCGUGUACGUACAAGCAGUAGGAGCAGGCUUUGUCCUGUGACUGCGUACCUUUUGUAUAAUGGGUCAGCGACUUAUAUUCAGUGGCAAGGUUAACCAUCUAGGGGAGCCGUAGGGAAACCGAGUCUUAACUGGGCGUUCAGUCUCUGGAUAUAGACCCGAAACCAGGUGAUCUAGCCAUGGGCAGGUUGAAGGUUGAGUAACAUCAACUGGAGGACCGAACCGACUAAUGUUGAAAAAUUAGCGGAUGACUUGUGGCUAGGGGUGAAAGGCCAAUCAAACCUGGAGAUAGCUGGUUCUCCCCGAAAGCUAUUUAGGUAGCGCCUCGGACGAAUACUACUGGGGGUAGAGCACUGUUAAGGCUAGGGGGUCAUCCCGACUUACCAACCCUUUGCAAACUCCGAAUACCAGUAAGUACUAUCCGGGAGACACACGGCGGGUGCUAACGUCCGUCGUGGAGAGGGAAACAACCCAGACCGCCAGCUAAGGUCCCAAAUUACUACUAAGUGGGAAACGAUGUGGGAAGGCUCAGACAGCCAGGAUGUUGGCUUAGAAGCAGCCAUCAUUUUUAAAGAAAGCGUAAUAGCUCACUGGUCGAGUCGGCCUGCGCGGAAGAUGUAACGGGGCUAAGUAGUAAACCGAAGCUGCGGCAAUGUGCUUUUGCACAUUGGGUAGGGGAGCGUUCUGUAAGCGGUUGAAGGUGUGUGGUAACGCAUGCUGGACGUAUCAGAAGUGCGAAUGCUGACAUGAGUAACGAUAAAGGGGGUGAAAAACCUCCUCGCCGGAAGACCAAGGGUUCCUGUCCAACGUUAAUCGGGGCAGGGUAAGUCGACCCCUAAGGCGAGGCCGAAAGGCGUAGUCGAUGGGAAACGGGUUAAUAUUCCCGUACUUCUUACAAUUGCGAUGGGGGGACGGAGAAGGCUAGGUGGGCCUGGCGACGGUUGUCCAGGUUCAAGUGCGUAGGCUUAAGAGUUAGGUAAAUCCGGCUCUUUUUAAGGCUGAGACACGACGUCGAGCACCUACGGGUGUGAAGUCAUUGAUGCCAUGCUUCCAGGAAAAGCCUCUAAGCUUCAGAUUGUAAGGAAUCGUACCCCAAACCGACACAGGUGGUCGGGUAGAGAAUACCAAGGCGCUUGAGAGAACUCGGGUGAAGGAACUAGGCAAAAUGGUACCGUAACUUCGGGAGAAGGUACGCUCUUGAUGGUGAAGUCCCUUGCGGAUGGAGCUGACGAGAGUCGCAGAUACCAGGUGGCUGCAACUGUUUAUUAAAAACACAGCACUGUGCAAAAUCGUAAGAUGACGUAUACGGUGUGACGCCUGCCCGGUGCCGGAAGGUUAAUUGAUGGGGUUAGACUUCGGUCGAAGCUCUUGAUCGAAGCCCCGGUAAACGGCGGCCGUAACUAUAACGGUCCUAAGGUAGCGAAAUUCCUUGUCGGGUAAGUUCCGACCUGCACGAAUGGCGUAAUGAUGGCCACGCUGUCUCCACCCGAGACUCAGUGAAAUUGAAAUCGCUGUGAAGAUGCAGUGUACCCGCGGCUAGACGGAAAGACCCCGUGAACCUUUACUACAGCUUGGCACUGAACAUUGACCCUACAUGUGUAGGAUAGGUGGGAGGCUUUGAAGCACGUACGCCAGUAUGUGUGGAGCCGUCCUUGAAAUACCACCCUUGUAGUGUUGAUGUUCUAACGUCGACCCCUAAUCGGGGUUGCGGACAGUGCCUGGUGGGUAGUUUGACUGGGGCGGUCUCCUCCCAAAGAGUAACGGAGGAGCACGAAGGUGGGCUAAUCACGGUUGGACAUCGUGAGGUUAGUGCAAUGGCAUAAGCCCGCUUGACUGCGAGAAUGACAAUUCGAGCAGGUGCGAAAGCAGGUCAUAGUGAUCCGGUGGUUCUGAAUGGAAGGGCCAUCGCUCAACGGAUAAAAGGUACUCCGGGGAUAACAGGCUGAUACCGCCCAAGAGUUCAUAUCGACGGCGGUGUUUGGCACCUCGAUGUCGGCUCAUCACAUCCUGGGGCUGAAGUCGGUCCCAAGGGUAUGGCUGUUCGCCAUUUAAAGUGGUACGCGAGCUGGGUUUAGAACGUCGUGAGACAGUUCGGUCCCUAUCUGCCGUGGGCGUUGGAAGAUUGAAGGGGGCUGCUCCUAGUACGAGAGGACCGGAGUGGACGAACCUCUGGUGUUCGGGUUGUGUCGCCAGACGCAUUGCCCGGUAGCUAAGUUCGGAAUCGAUAACCGCUGAAAGCAUCUAAGCGGGAAGCGAGCCCUGAGAUGAGUCUUCCCUGAUACUUUAAGUAUCCUAAAGGGUUGUCGGAGACUACGACGUUGAUAGGUCAGGUGUGUAAGUGCUGUGAGGCAUUGAGCUAACUGAUACUAAUUGCCCGUGAGGCUUAACCAUACAACACCCAAGGGGUUU
This 2918-nucleotide ribosomal RNA is filed under the name Vibrio parahaemolyticus. RNAcentral's name for it is "23S ribosomal RNA". It matches the Rfam family "Bacterial large subunit ribosomal RNA". The record is from RNAcentral. Lineage: Bacteria; Pseudomonadati; Pseudomonadota; Gammaproteobacteria; Vibrionales; Vibrionaceae.